This is a long non-coding RNA of Papaver somniferum (opium poppy), 1687 nucleotides long. RefSeq lists it as uncharacterized. The transcript has 3 exons. Lineage: Eukaryota; Viridiplantae; Streptophyta; Magnoliopsida; Ranunculales; Papaveraceae. The record is from RefSeq and is a predicted model, not a curated record.
UUCUUUUUUUUCUUCUUCUUCUUCAUUUCUCAUUCUUCUUCUCUUUCUUUCUUCUCCGCUCUUCUUCUGUAAACGUUUGAGAGGUAAGUUGAGAUCCGAUUUGAGAGAAUCAAUUGAGGUUAGUAUACAUAUGCUGAAGGUGAUGGUGCUGCUGCGAAUUAGGAAGAGAACUAUAAGGAAUCGAAGAUAUAAAUCAAGGGAAAUUCAGUUAGGGUUUUCUAAACUCAUUAACUGAAUUCGUAUGCAAUUGAUAUGGUACUUAGGUUUCUGCUAGAGGAAUAUGACAAGGGUUGUGGUUGAAUUGAAGCUUAGUAGUUGACGCGUUGUAGAAUUGAAGAAUUGGGGUUUCGAAAUGUUGGUUUGAAACUCAAUUCGAGAGAUUAAUCGUAAGAUUUGUGUUCGAUAGAUGGUAGAACAGAUCAUGGGGUUUAUAUUGGUGGUGGUACUGGCUCAAGCGGCUGAUACAGAACUUGGAGAAAAGGUAAUUAGGGUUCUUUAAAAUUGAAGAUUAAAUUGUGUGAUUUUGAGUAAUUGUUUGAGAAACUAGUGAUGGGUAAUUUGAUUUGAGAGCAAGGAAGAAGAAUUAACAACUGAUUUCCAAUUCAGAGUGAAAAAUCGAGGAAUUAGGGUUUUGAGAUUGAUGAGUGCAUGUUGAAAUUGAUAAGUGAUUCGGGUUGUUGUUAGAUGGAGAUUGAGAGGGUUUUUGUUUAAUUGAAGCUCUGGUGUUGAUUCUUGGUUAAACAGACUUAGGGUUUGAGGCUGGGUUCUGACCAUGGAAGGAUAGAGUAAUUAAAGUUGGAUUUGAGUGAUUGGUGAUGAAGAACCAAAGGGUUGAUGUUGAUUUGUUGAUGCGAAGCUGUUCUUAUGAAGAAUUGGGUUACUGUUCUUGGUUUGAAUUAGAGAAGUCAUGAGUUGGGUAUUAAGUUAGGGCUCACUGGGGAAAUUAUGCAGGUGAUGAAGAUUGGUGAAUACUGGUUGAGUGGAACUAAUAUACUGAAUUGAAGUAGAGAAGAAUUCAAUCCUAAACUGCCUUAGGAAGAUGCUAGUUGAGUUCAAGUUAAAGAAUAAUGAAUUUCCUUGGUUUCAAUGGAACCAUUGGAGGUAAUUAUUCCCUGAGAUGUUUUAUCUUAGCUACUCAAUUUUAUUGAAUGAGUUUAUGUGCUUGAUAUUUGAAUUAAGAAUUAAGAUGUAUGUGUAUAGAACUGGCAUUUCAAGUUAUGAUAAUGAACACUAAGAUGUGUUUGUGAUGGACUGAGUUUAGAGAAAUGGAAAUUAGAUGAAUGAAUGUGUCGAAGUUGAGAAUAGACUUGCAGAUGAGUUGGUAAAUGCUGGAAUUGUAAUUGCAGGACUGAAGUUGCAGUUAGUGUUGGCUGAGAGAGUAUUGGAGUAGCAGGUGAUAAGGAAAGUGAAAUGGCAGAACUUGUAGAGAAGAGACGAGUUAAUGAUGAACUGAUGGAUUAGUCACAGUUGAGCUUGUGUUUGUUUAGGCUGAGUUGGUUUGUUUGUUUUGGUUGAUUUGAAAUUGGGAAUGAGGGUUAGAUGAAGGUGUUGCUUGAAUCUGUAAGGGAAAGCUUGGUACUUCUUUUGCAGUGGAUCGUGGAUCUCGAGGUAGGCGUGGCUUGUCAUCAAAAAAGUUUCAGAGACAGAUCAGAGUUGCGCUGCGGAAGCUUCGAGGAGCUGAGUUCGU